This 596-nucleotide ribosomal RNA is filed under the name uncultured bacterium. RNAcentral's name for it is "bacterial SSU rRNA". The stretch from base 1 to 516 matches the Rfam family "Bacterial small subunit ribosomal RNA", at positions 338 to 873 of the family's 1533-position model. The record is from RNAcentral.
CCUACGGGAGGCAGCAGUGGGGAAUCUUGCGCAAUGGGCGAAAGCCUGACGCAGCCAUGCCGCGUGAAUGAUGAAGGUCUUAGGAUUGUAAAGUUCUUUCGCUCGUGACGAUGAUGACGGUAACGAGAGAAGAAGCCCCGGCUAACUUCGUGCCAGCAGCCGCGGUAAUACGAAGGGGGCUAGCGUUGUUCGGAAUUACUGGGCGUAAAGCGCGCGUAGGCGGUCUUGCAAGCCAGAGGUGAAAUGCCUGAGCUCAACUUAGGAAUUGCCUUUGGGACUGUGAGGCUUCGAGGACUGGAGAGGUGAGUGGAAUUCCCAGUGUAGAGGUGAAAUUCGUAGAUAUUGGGAAGAACACCGGUGGCGAAGGCGGCUCACUGGCCAGUUUCUGACGCUAAAGCGCGAAAGCGUGGGGAUCAAACAGGAUUAGAUACCCUGGUAGUCCACGCUGUAAACGAUGAGUGCUAGGCGUCGGCACGCUUGCGUGUCGGUGCCGCNGCUACGCGUGAGCACNCCGCCGUGGGAGGUACGGUCGCGAGAGUAAACUACAACGAGUAGUAGACGNGNGAGAGCGACGACGACGACGACGGAGGAGGAGG